AAAAAAAAAAAAGAAAAAAAAAAGAUAUGCAUAUGUUCCUUAUGAGGCACUAAGAAAAAAAAUGAAAAAGAAAAUUAAGAAAUGCAUACAUGUAUGUUCCUAAUGAGGUAGUUAGAAAGAAAAAAAAAGAAAAAUAUAUAAAAAAAAAUAUGCAUAUGUUCCUUAUGAAAAAAAUCAAAAAAGGAGCAAGUAACCCACGACAAAUACCUUCUUUACAAUAUUAACAUUCAUAACAAAUAUACAAGGUUUAUAAUCCAAAACGCAUUGUUGAAAAAGUGGCUAUACUAUAAGCAGACCACUUAUCAACGUUUUACUGAUUUUCUAAUAUGCAAACACAUAAUGUUCGUGGUCUUUUCUCAUGUAUCUGGUUAAAGUUUGAUGAAAUAUAAAAUACUAGUCGGUUAGUAUAAAUUCAAACAAAAAGAGCUAGUUUAAACGUUAUAAAAAGGCGUUUUUUUCUGUUUUACUAUGAAUUUAUCGAAUUAUGUGAAUAUUUUCUAUAC
Molecule: long non-coding RNA, 503 nt
Filed under: Mytilus galloprovincialis (Mediterranean mussel)
Lineage: Eukaryota; Metazoa; Mollusca; Bivalvia; Mytilida; Mytilidae
Source: RNAcentral